Molecule: ribosomal RNA, 515 nt
Filed under: uncultured Bacillota bacterium
Lineage: Bacteria; Bacillati; Bacillota
Description: bacterial SSU rRNA
Rfam family: Bacterial small subunit ribosomal RNA
Source: RNAcentral
UAGGGAAUCUUCCGCAAUGGGCGAAAGCCUGACGGAGCAAUGCCGCGUGAGUGAUGAAGGUUUUCGGAUCGUAAAGCUCUGUUGCCAGGGAAGAACGUCCGGUAGAGUAACUGCUAUCGGAGUGACGGUACCUGAGAAGAAAGCCCCGGCUAACUACGUGCCAGCAGCCGCGGUAAUACGUAGGGGGCAAGCGUUGUCCGGAAUUAUUGGGCGUAAAGCGCGCGCAGGCGGCUACUUAAGUCUGGUGUUUAAACCUUGGGCUCAACCUGAGGUCGCACUGGAAACUGGGUGGCUUGAGUACAGAAGAGGAAAGUGGAAUUCCACGUGUAGCGGUGAAAUGCGUAGAGAUGUGGAGGAACACCAGUGGCGAAGGCGACUUUCUGGGCUGUAACUGACGCUGAGGCGCGAAAGCGUGGGGAGCAAACAGGAUUAGAUACCCUGGUAGUCCACGCCGUAAACGAUGAGUGCUAGGUGUUAGGGGUUUCGAUACCCUUGGUGCCGAAGUUAACACUAAG